CAGGGAUUGCCCCAGUAACGGCGAGUGAAGCGGCAAGAGCUCAAAUUUGAAAUCUGGCCUCCCCCGGGGGUCCGAGUUGUAAUUUGCAGAGGAUGCUUCGGGCGCGGCCCCCGUCUAAGUUCCUUGGAACAGGACGUCAGAGAGGGUGAGAAUCCCGUCUUGGGCGGGCGGCCCGCGCCCGUGUGAAGCUCCUUCGACGAGUCGAGUUGUUUGGGAAUGCAGCUCUAAGCGGGUGGUAAAUUUCAUCUAAAGCUAAAUACCGGCCGGAGACCGAUAGCGCACAAGUAGAGUGAUCGAAAGGUUAAAAGCACCUUGAAAAGGGAGUUAAACAGCACGUGAAAUUGUUGAAAGGGAAGCGCUUGCGGCCAGACUCGGGGGGCGGGGUUCAGCGGGCGCUCGUCGCCCGUGCACUGCCCGCUCCCCGGGCCAGCAUCAGCUUCGACGGCCGGUCAAAGGCCCCCGGAAUGUGUCGUCUCUAGGGACGUCUUAUAGCCGGGGGUGCAAUGCGGCCCGUCGAGACUGAGGAACGCGCUCCGGCUCGGAUGC
RNAcentral lists this ribosomal RNA (546 nucleotides) under Trichophyton rubrum. RNAcentral's name for it is "eukaryotic LSU rRNA". It matches the Rfam family "Eukaryotic large subunit ribosomal RNA", at positions 69 to 626 of the family's 3401-position model. Lineage: Eukaryota; Fungi; Ascomycota; Eurotiomycetes; Onygenales; Arthrodermataceae. The record is from RNAcentral.